AGUGAACGCUGGCGGUAUGCCUAACACAUGCAAGUCGAACGGCAGCACAGUAAGAGCUCGCCCUUACGGGUGGCGAGUGGCGGACGGGUGAGGAAUACAUCGGAAUCUACUUUUUCGUGGGGGAUAACGUAGGGAAACUUACGCUAAUACCGCAUACGACCUACGGGUGAAAGCAGGGGAUCUUCGGACCUUGCGCGAUUGAAUGAGCCGAUGUCGGAUUAGCUAGUUGGCGGGGUAACGGCCCACCAAGGCGACGAUCCGUAGCUGGUCUGAGAGGAUGAUCAGCCACACUGGAACUGAGACACGGUCCAGACUCCUACGGGAGGCAGCAGUGGGGAAUAUUGGACAAUGGGCGCAAGCCUGAUCCAGCCAUACCGCGUGGGUGAAGAAGGCCUUCGGGUUGUAAAGCCCUUUUGUUGGGAAAGAAAAGCAGCAGGUUAAUACCCCGCUGUUCUGACGGUACCCAAAGAAUAAGCACCGGCUAACUUCGUG
This 492-nucleotide ribosomal RNA is filed under the name uncultured bacterium. RNAcentral's name for it is "partial 16S ribosomal RNA". It matches the Rfam family "Bacterial small subunit ribosomal RNA", at positions 29 to 507 of the family's 1533-position model. The record is from RNAcentral.